Molecule: long non-coding RNA, 2278 nt
Organism: Diachasmimorpha longicaudata
Lineage: Eukaryota; Metazoa; Arthropoda; Insecta; Hymenoptera; Braconidae
Exons: 6
Source: RefSeq, a predicted model, not a curated record
UUACAUGCAAUAACUCCAUGCGAAUUCAUGGGAGAAUACGUUGCUACCAAUAACAUCGAAGUAUCUAAAGGUUCACUGAGGAAGGUCCAAAUGUAAAGUUUUCACGAUAGUCUUUGCCAGAGUACAUCAUAAGAAACAACCAACGUAGGGGCAAGAUGAACAAUAUUGGCAUAUUGUUACUAUCCUUCACUGUUAUUCCAUCCAUAAUUUCAACUUAUGCUGUAAAAGAUCUGGAUUACUAUGUACCUAUGAUUAUACAAAUAUAUAACGAAUAUAACACCGCUGGUAUACUUGUCAUGUCGCCAUCGGAUUCCCUCCACUCAUUUAAUGAAGUCACUUACUGGCAUGGGCUAUCAAUGACCUUCUCUAAGCAAGGGAUACCAUCGCUAAUGGUGAGUUCUACGUACUUCAUGACGAGAUUGGAGUCUUACAAAAAACAUUACAACCGCCCAUUUGUUGUAAUCGUGCUUCGUGAACCGGGAGAUCUGCAGAACUGGAUACACAUCACCAGGAAUAUGUCCAUGGAUGACGUUUUAUGGAUGCUACUCUUUAUUGAAACCGUCGAUCAAGAUACCUGCAAUUUUUGUCGGAAUCCGCAGGGAAAUGUGUUCAAUUUGAAAUUCAAUUCGGAAAUGUUAACAGUAUGUUGUAACUCCAACAUGAUCGAAGACUGGUGGUCAGUUACACCAAAUCGAACGAAUACACACCAUCUGGGUACAUGGAUCGCAGAAAAAAACGAAAUUCAGUGGUUUGGCGAGAAAUCUCUCAAUAGACGACGAAGUUCACUAGAAGGCAGGUCAUUUCGGAUCAGUUUUGUUAAGGAAUCGAGUUACAUUUGGAAGAAAGAUGGUCAGCUUCAGGGAUUUUUAGCUGAUGUUCUUCAGGAAUUGGGUAAAGCAAUGAACUUUACAAUAUCAACUGUUAUUGAAGAAGAUGUAUAUGGCGUUCUUGAUUCACCACCGCCUAUUUGACGUGGGGUUAUUGGGAGAAUCGCCGCAAAAGAGGUUGAUAUAGGUGUCGAUGGCUUUACUACAACGAGCACGCGACGUGAAGUAGCCGAUUUCACUGUUCCGAUAAUAAAUGUCGAUUCUCGAAUAUACAUUAAAUCUGAUUCUCCAACUAUUCGCUGGAAUGCAUAUUUUCAGGUUGCUUGACUGCUGUUUGUCCAUAGUUUAUGACUAAUUAUUUGCACGUUUUCCAAAUUGCAAAUUAAUUUACAGGUUUUCACUAAACCGCUGUGGGAAGCCAUUAUUGCUAUAAUUAUAAUAAUGCCUCUUUUUUUGACAUUAAUCAAAUACAACAGAAGAUUUAAUUUUUUUUGUCUCAUCGCUGAACAUUAUUUACAUGUUUGGGGUAUCUUCUGUCAACAAGGCAUACCAGGUAAUUACAUAUAAUUAUGCGUUCAGCUACCCGUAAUGAUGAAAUAAUUUUUAACAGAAUUUCCCAAUGGAAUGCCCUUGAGAACAUCAUAUAUUUCGAUAUCCCUAUCAGCAUUGGUUGUAUUAUCUGCGUAUUCCGCAUCACUCAUUAGUUUUCUUGCCGUUUCACCGCUACCAUUCAGUAACAUGGAGCAAUUUGUCGAAGAUGGCACAUAUCCAUUGAUAACCAUAUAUGAGAGUGAGGAUUUUAAUAAAUUUAAGUUUGCUAGUGACGCAAUCAUGCGCCAAAUGAUGACCAUCAUGAAACCUGCUGAAAGUUUGCCUAAAAGUUACUCUUCAGGUUUUCGCCAGACAUGUAAUGAGAAAGUGGCUUUCUACACUCACUACGAACCUUCAAGUGGACGAGGGUUUAAUUUUAUACCAUGUAAGACAAUUUCGGUUAAAGUUGGAUCGAAUCAAUUGUCGGGCAUUAUCUUGCCAGCAGGAAGCGAGUACAAAAGCGUCAUUAAUUAUCAACUUCACCGGCUUAAAAUAAAUGGCGUGUUACAGCGGCUGGUUCACAAAUAUGCUCUGUACGAUGGGCUUUCUAAUACAGCUCACAAGCCAGUGCAGUUGUCCGGAGUUAUACCAAUUUUGAUCAUUCUAGUAGUUGGAUUAAUUGCUGCUUCGAUAGUUUAUUUGAUGGAACGGAGUUUUCACUUUUUAAGAGGCAACUUACGACGUCUACGAAUCCUCAAAAUUUCACGAAAAAAAUAAUGAGCCCAAGAAGACGAUGUAUGCACAAUGCACAUUGAUGAUGAUGUCCCGAGUUAACCACCACAAAGCAAUCAGUAUUCUUCGUUAUUAUUUUCAGGUUUUGGACAUGAAGUGAUUUAUGAUAUUUUAAAAUAAAUUUUGGA